RNAcentral lists this long non-coding RNA (207 nucleotides) under Physcomitrium patens. RNAcentral describes it as "long non-coding RNA (PPAT_LNC013627)". The record is from RNAcentral. Lineage: Eukaryota; Viridiplantae; Streptophyta; Bryopsida; Funariales; Funariaceae.
UUUUACAUUUGUAUUAGUCACUCAAUACCAAUUUCUCUUGCGCCAAUAACUCAGCCUUUUUUCAUUCCAUUACCAACUGACCCUUCGCUUUUUCUAGUUCCAAAAUUGAAUUACUGUGAGUCCCGAAUAAUUCUUGCCUGUGGGUCUCCACCAUGCAUUUUCUUUCUUUGUCCCAAGCUUCUUGUUGUUUUCUAAUUUUUUGCUCUA